UACGUAGGUGACAAGCGUUGUCCGGAUUUACUGGGCGUAAAGAGCGCGCAGGCGGUCGAUCAAGUCGAGUGUGAAAGCCCCCGGCUCAACUGGGGAGGGUCAUUCGAUACUGAUCGACUCGAAGGCAGGAGAGGGUAGUGGAAUUCCCGGUGUAGUGGUGAAAUGCGUAGAUAUCGGGAGGAACACCGGUGGCGAAGGCGGGUCUCUGGGCCGAUACUGACGCUGAGGAGCGAAAGCGUGGGGAGCGAACAGG
This 253-nucleotide ribosomal RNA is filed under the name uncultured bacterium. RNAcentral describes it as "partial 16S ribosomal RNA". It matches the Rfam family "Bacterial small subunit ribosomal RNA", at positions 524 to 776 of the family's 1533-position model. The record is from RNAcentral.